Lolium rigidum is the source of this 1829-nucleotide long non-coding RNA. RefSeq lists it as uncharacterized. The record is from RefSeq and is a predicted model, not a curated record. The transcript is spliced from 2 exons. NCBI's taxonomy places the organism in Eukaryota, Viridiplantae, Streptophyta, Magnoliopsida, Poales, Poaceae.
CCCGCGAUUGGUUCCACCCCGCUCCUCUCUGCUAGGGUUUCCCGGCGCACAGGGACUCGGAUCUUGGCGACAAUGGAUCGAGUUCGCUCACGAACAGGCCUGCCCCUUUAAUUUCUCUCUGUUUACACGCGCUGCAAAUGUUCAGUUACAGUGUACGCGGUGGAGGAUCUGCCCAUGAGUGUCCACACAGUAUUUGCUACUAGUUACUUUUUGAUUGAAUAGAGUUGUUCCUAUCGCUCCAAUACUACUAGUCCCUGACGAAGGACAAAUUUAUUUGUAUACAUGUGCAAUGCAAACUGAGAUCCGUGUUAUGCCUGUCUCUAUGUAUUUAUCAAGACUGGCAAUCCCAGUCUUGGAAAGGAAUACAAAUUUCCAUUAUUAUUUGGCAUAUAUCAGACUCUGAUCUGUCCAUAAAAUGCAUUAGAAAAUUUUAAACUGAGUGUUUGUUUGUUGCUGAUUCAUUCUAGCUUGGUUGGUAUUAUUUCGCCUGUCCUACAGAUUACUUGUACUGCACUGCGCUAUAAUUCUUGACAUUAAUAUCUUCCUGAGCUUGUGUUUUUUUGUAUGCUCAUUAGGCGAGUUGUUCUUGUCAUGCAUGUUCGAGGCCGUGAUUCACUUCGUCGGGCUGAACCCACUGCUCUACUACGACGACACCCUCAUCGGCACCAUCACUCUUCUACAAGCAAGGAUUAAGAGUCGCUUGAAUUUCCCUCAUGUGUACUGAUGUUCCCUCCUAGUAUACAGCACCUUUUUGCUGUUUGGAGAUUUUGCCAGGGUGAAAGUUUGGAUACUGUUGGUGAAGGGCUUGAAGUUCUGAAAAACACGGUAGCUGCUGAUAUAAAUUCGGUUGCUUUUUUCUAGUUGAACGAUGGUAGGAAUCACAUGAAUUUUACUCUUUUGGUGCUUCCCUGCUCCGUUUGCUAUUUUGGUAUAUUCCAAGAUGCAUAAUCUGAGAUGAUUUCUGUAGAUUUUAUUUCAUGUGUUUCAUUUGAUGGUCAUUAUAAUUACCAAACUUGCUAGAUGCAGAUUAAUAUUGUGAAGUAUAUAUAGUCCAUUAAAAUCCUAAUAUUUUCUCGAACCGAACCAGUUCGAAAAUGAUUGCUAUUCAUUGAAUCUUUGUGCUUGUGAUUUGACAUAAUUUAAUAUUGAUGCCUUUUUCUUGCUCCACUUUGUUUCUUGAUUUAGCUGAACUAGUACAUUUGUUGUUUCUUAAGGAAUAAUCUUAAUUAUCCCUGGUUUCUGUAUCAUGGAUUAUUUAGAUUACCAUGAUAAGUAUCUGUACUUAUGUAGGAUCAGAAUGCACUACAUUUGUUUUUGGUUCCAUAUUUAGUUUGGUAUAUGUACUUGAGCAUCUCUGUGAGUAUAGGUGCAUGCACUGCUGGUAUGAUCCAAUCGUUGCAUGGUUCCAUUUGAUCCAAUCGUCGCGCGCUUCCGUGAUCAUGCUUGAACUGUUGUGUACAAUAUCGUCGCCUUAUUAUUUUGCAGUCCUUUCGAAAUAUCUGUAUUUGCUUUGCUUAUCAUGCUCUGUUUAUUUUGUCCGAGGAUAACGAGGAGGACUGAGCGACCGUAGUGGCCCCUUCUUCUUCGACUCCAUGUGUUUUAUGGGGAAGUCUCUAGCUCCUCUCUAUGAUUUCCUAGUCUUGUGUAGUAUUUAUAGGCCUCAAAUAUACGUGAAGUUUUCUUUCUUGGAUAUAGUGGAUUCUGUCAAAUGAAGCUUAAAUUUAUGGCAGAUUUUCUUGACCUGUGCAUAUUUGGAUGCCAAAUGAGUUGGUCUUGUGCGACUUGCUCACUGUAUUUGCUGCUAUGUUAUCAAUGCGGAUGUUUGAGAA